Myotis lucifugus (little brown bat) is the source of this 879-nucleotide long non-coding RNA. RefSeq lists it as uncharacterized. Lineage: Eukaryota; Metazoa; Chordata; Mammalia; Chiroptera; Vespertilionidae. The record is from RefSeq and is a predicted model, not a curated record. The transcript is spliced from 5 exons.
GGUCCACGCACUGUUAACAAUCUCUACACUUUUCCCAGAGCAGCAGAAAACGCAUGAAUCCCAGACUCCUAGACGUGCUCCUGGGAACAGACAGACAUAGCUAUUGAGCCUGUUGGAGGUCGUUCUGGGCUCCUCUGGAUGAUGUUUCCCUUCCUCCUGUCUGUGCUGAGCAUCUGGAUUGACUUCCUGCUUUAAAGUGGAGUCUGCCCUGGGCUCAGCGAUCUAGAGAGAAUGCUCCAGAGAUGCCUCGCUCCUUCCACUGUGUAAGGACAUGGCGACAUGUUGGCCGUCUGCAGCACAGAAGACGGUCUCACCAGAACCCCACCGUGCCAGCACUUGAUCGCAGCCUUCCAGCCUCCAGAAUGCCCUACCUUAGGUGGUCUCGGAAAGGAGGGCGCGAUCUCGCUUCCAGACCCAGAGCUCUGGAUCAAAAGCCUGGAUCUGGAAGGACAAACAGCCCCCUGAGAAGAUGAUGACUCUCCAGGACACCUAGACUCCAGUCUUUUCAAAUUCUUGGAGAAGAUGCUGUUGCCCACCCCUGUUGCCAAGCACCACGGAAUUUGGUCCUUCCAAUCAGGAAGGUCAGAAGCCUCUGAUGUCAUUAGUCAUUCCAACCUGGCCAGCAGCUUGAAGGAUCCAAACCCAUGGACUGCCAUGUGUGCACUGCUCCUGGGAAUCAGGGGUCAACCAUACCUCCUGCCACUGACCCAUCAGCCUCUGUCCAGCCUCCAACACUCUCCUCUAUGGCAGCGUCAUUCUUUACCCCUCCCCAGGGGAUGCUGUGUUCUCUCCAUUCUGAACUUGAAAUAGGCUGGACUCUCUCCUUUCCCAUUCAUAUUUCAGCAGCUUAGUCUGACGAGAGAGGGAGGUCACAAGGGG